RNAcentral lists this ribosomal RNA (483 nucleotides) under uncultured bacterium. Its description in RNAcentral is "partial 16S ribosomal RNA". It matches the Rfam family "Bacterial small subunit ribosomal RNA", at positions 30 to 506 of the family's 1533-position model. The record is from RNAcentral.
AUUGAACGCUGGCGGCAGGCCUAACACAUGCAAGUCGAGCGGAUGAAGGGAGCUUGCUCGUGGAUUCAGCGGCGGACGGGUGAGUAAUGCCUAGGAAUCUGCCUGGUAGUGGGGGAUGACGUCCGGAAACGGGCGCUAAUACCGCAUACGUCCUGAGGGAGAAAGUGGGGGAUCUUCGGACCUCACGCUAUCAGAUGAGCCUAGGUCGGAUUAGCUAGUUGGUGGGGUAAAGGCCUACCAAGGCGACGAUCCGUAACUGGUCUGAGAGGAUGAUCAGUCACACUGGAACUGAGACACGGUCCAGACUCCUACGGGAGGCAGCAGUGGGGAAUAUUGGACAAUGGGCGAAAGCCUGAUCCAGCCAUGCCGCGUGUGUGAAGAAGGUCUUCGGAUUGUAAAGCACUUUAAGUUGGGAGGAAGGGCAGUAAGUUAAUACCUUGCUGUUUUGACGUUACCAACAGAAUAAGCACCGGCUAACUUCGG